GACGAACGCUGGCGGCGUGCUUAAUACAUGCAAGUCAACGACUUUUAGAGUAGCAAUAUUUUAAAAGGAGUGGCGCACGGGUGAGUAACACGUAGGUAAUCUGCCUUCAGGACUGACACAACUCGUCGAAAGACGGGCUAAUAUCAGAUAAUGCAGCGGCUCCGCAUGGAGACAGUUGUUAAAGUACAAGCGCCUGAAGAUGAGCCUGCGGUCCAUUAGCUAGUUGGUAGAGUAACAGCCUACCAAGGCAACGAUGGAUAGCUGGUCUGAGAGGAUGAUCAGCCACACUGGAACUGAGACACGGUCCAGACUCCUACGGGAGGCAGCAGUAAGGAAUAUUGCUCAAUGGCCGAAAGGCUGAAGCAGCAACGCCGCGUGAAGGAUGAAUGGCCUUUGGCCUGUAAACUUCUGUAAAAAGGGAAAACAAUACAAGGCAAUGUCCUGAUUGAUUGUACCUUUGAAGUAAGCCCCGGCUAACUACGUGCCAG
Molecule: ribosomal RNA, 488 nt
Filed under: uncultured bacterium
Lineage: Bacteria
Description: bacterial SSU rRNA
Rfam family: Bacterial small subunit ribosomal RNA
Source: RNAcentral